UAGAUCAAUGACGAUGAUUGGUCGUUAUCAUUGAUGAGUCAUGGGUGAUGAAUAAUAUGUGUUUGAAACUCAGAGGACCAA
RNAcentral lists this small nucleolar RNA (81 nucleotides) under Prolemur simus (greater bamboo lemur). Its description in RNAcentral is "Small nucleolar RNA SNORD113/SNORD114 family (ENSPSMG00000023424.1)". It matches the Rfam family "Small nucleolar RNA SNORD113/SNORD114 family". From Rfam's summary of the family: The imprinted human domain at 14q32 contains two clusters of tandemly repeated small nucleolar RNAs named 14q(I) and 14q(II) snoRNAs. These two clusters are named SNORD113 and SNORD114 respectively in the HGNC approved gene symbol nomenclature. The record is from Rfam by way of RNAcentral. Lineage: Eukaryota; Metazoa; Chordata; Mammalia; Primates; Lemuridae.